This 396-nucleotide ribosomal RNA is filed under the name uncultured bacterium. RNAcentral describes it as "bacterial SSU rRNA". It matches the Rfam family "Bacterial small subunit ribosomal RNA", at positions 29 to 429 of the family's 1533-position model. The record is from RNAcentral.
AACGAACGCUGGCGGCAUGCCUUACACAUGCAAGUCGAACGGCAGCGGACCUUCGGGUGCCGGCGAGUGGCGAACGGGUGAGUAAUAUAUCGGAACGUACCUUUCAGUGGGGGAUAACGUAGCGAAAGUUACGCUAAUACCGCAUAUUCUGUGAGCAGGAAAGCAGGGGAUCGCAAGACCUUGCGCUGAUUGAGCGGCCGAUAUCAGAUUAGCUAGUUGGCGGGGUAAAGGCCCACCAAGGCGACGAUCCGUAGCUGGUCUGAGAGGAUGAUCAGCCACACUGGAACUGAGACACGGUCCAGACUCCUACGGGAGGCAGCAGUGGGGGAAUAUUGGACAAUGGGGGCAACCCUGAUCCAGCCAUGCCGCGUGUGUGAAGAAGGCCUCGGUUGUAAG